UAUAGCACUGACUACAUAAUGGGAUUUGGAGUCCUGAGAAAUUACUACAGCCAGUGAUGUGCUGGAGCUAAACGCUACUCUUACAAGAGCCAGUGGAAUCAUCAGGCAAAGCUAGUAACAUCAGAGGUGUUCACUGAAUAGCUGAGCUGA
This is a long non-coding RNA of Lontra canadensis (Northern American river otter), 150 nucleotides long. RefSeq lists it as uncharacterized. The record is from RefSeq and is a predicted model, not a curated record. NCBI's taxonomy places the organism in Eukaryota, Metazoa, Chordata, Mammalia, Carnivora, Mustelidae. The transcript is spliced from 2 exons.